This is a long non-coding RNA of Anoplophora glabripennis (Asian longhorned beetle), 463 nucleotides long. RefSeq lists it as uncharacterized. The transcript has 3 exons. Lineage: Eukaryota; Metazoa; Arthropoda; Insecta; Coleoptera; Cerambycidae. The record is from RefSeq and is a predicted model, not a curated record.
UUAUUCAGUGCAUGUUAUUUUCAAUAUCUUGUAGGCACUAAAUUAAAAAGGAAAUUAUUCAACUCUCGUAACAUAGUAAAGACAUUAUCACGAGCAAGAUCUACUAAUACCGCUGCGGUAAAUCAGUUGAUCCAAGAAACUGUAGAUGGUGAAAAUUACAUUUUAGUUCAAGGAAAACAAAUAUUUAUAAUAUACGAUAUUCCUCACGUUAUAAAAAAUAUUCGUAAUGCAUUAUAUAAAUAUAAAAUAUCCAGUACGAACCAAAUAAAGUUGCAAGAUGGAUGCAUAUUGAAGCGGCAUAUAAAAUAGACAUCGCGGCGUUUUCAAGCCAUGAGGAAGAUAAGAGACAAAUUUUCAGUUCAACUGUUGCAGCUGAAAAUCUGCCGGCUGAAGCAGUAUCCACUGCAGAAUUUGUGCAUGGACAGUAUGUUUAAUUCAUUGAAUAGUCGGACUGUUAGACCCA